CGAACGGGUGAGUAACACGUGGGCAACCUGCCCAAAAGAGGGGGAUAACACUUGGAAACAGGUGCUAAUACCGCAUAACCAUAGUUACCGCAUGGUAACUAUGUAAAAGGUGGCUAUGCUACCGCUUUUGGAUGGGCCCGCGGCGCAUUAGCUAGUUGGUGGGGUAAAGGCUUACCAAGGCAAUGAUGCGUAGCCGAACUGAGAGGUUGAUCGGCCACAUUGAGACUGAGACACGGCCCAAACUCCUACGGAAGGCAGCAG
RNAcentral lists this ribosomal RNA (261 nucleotides) under uncultured bacterium. RNAcentral describes it as "partial 16S ribosomal RNA". It matches the Rfam family "Bacterial small subunit ribosomal RNA", at positions 99 to 354 of the family's 1533-position model. The record is from RNAcentral.